This 1473-nucleotide ribosomal RNA is filed under the name Lactiplantibacillus plantarum. RNAcentral describes it as "Lactobacillus plantarum 16S ribosomal RNA". It matches the Rfam family "Bacterial small subunit ribosomal RNA". The record is from RNAcentral. Lineage: Bacteria; Bacillati; Bacillota; Bacilli; Lactobacillales; Lactobacillaceae.
GGCGGCGUGCCUAAUACAUGCAAGUCGAACGAACUCUGGUAUUGAUUGGUGCUUGCAUCAUGAUUUACAUUUGAGUGAGUGGCGAACUGGUGAGUAACACGUGGGAAACCUGCCCAGAAGCGGGGGAUAACACCUGGAAACAGAUGCUAAUACCGCAUAACAACUUGGACCGCAUGGUCCGAGUUUGAAAGAUGGCUUCGGCUAUCACUUUUGGAUGGUCCCGCGGCGUAUUAGCUAGAUGGUGGGGUAACGGCUCACCAUGGCAAUGAUACGUAGCCGACCUGAGAGGGUAAUCGGCCACAUUGGGACUGAGACACGGCCCAAACUCCUACGGGAGGCAGCAGUAGGGAAUCUUCCACAAUGGACGAAAGUCUGAUGGAGCAACGCCGCGUGAGUGAAGAAGGGUUUCGGCUCGUAAAACUCUGUUGUUAAAGAAGAACAUAUCUGAGAGUAACUGUUCAGGUAUUGACGGUAUUUAACCAGAAAGCCACGGCUAACUACGUGCCAGCAGCCGCGGUAAUACGUAGGUGGCAAGCGUUGUCCGGAUUUAUUGGGCGUAAAGCGAGCGCAGGCGGUUUUUUAAGUCUGAUGUGAAAGCCUUCGGCUCAACCGAAGAAGUGCAUCGGAAACUGGGAAACUUGAGUGCAGAAGAGGACAGUGGAACUCCAUGUGUAGCGGUGAAAUGCGUAGAUAUAUGGAAGAACACCAGUGGCGAAGGCGGCUGUCUGGUCUGUAACUGACGCUGAGGCUCGAAAGUAUGGGUAGCAAACAGGAUUAGAUACCCUGGUAGUCCAUACCGUAAACGAUGAAUGCUAAGUGUUGGAGGGUUUCCGCCCUUCAGUGCUGCAGCUAACGCAUUAAGCAUUCCGCCUGGGGAGUACGGCCGCAAGGCUGAAACUCAAAGGAAUUGACGGGGGCCCGCACAAGCGGUGGAGCAUGUGGUUUAAUUCGAAGCUACGCGAAGAACCUUACCAGGUCUUGACAUACUAUGCAAAUCUAAGAGAUUAGACGUUCCCUUCGGGGACAUGGAUACAGGUGGUGCAUGGUUGUCGUCAGCUCGUGUCGUGAGAUGUUGGGUUAAGUCCCGCAACGAGCGCAACCCUUAUUAUCAGUUGCCAGCAUUAAGUUGGGCACUCUGGUGAGACUGCCGGUGACAAACCGGAGGAAGGUGGGGAUGACGUCAAAUCAUCAUGCCCCUUAUGACCUGGGCUACACACGUGCUACAAUGGAUGGUACAACGAGUUGCGAACUCGCGAGAGUAAGCUAAUCUCUUAAAGCCAUUCUCAGUUCGGAUUGUAGGCUGCAACUCGCCUACAUGAAGUCGGAAUCGCUAGUAAUCGCGGAUCAGCAUGCCGCGGUGAAUACGUUCCCGGGCCUUGUACACACCGCCCGUCACACCAUGAGAGUUUGUAACACCCAAAGUCGGUGGGGUAACCUUUUAGGAACCAGCCGCCUAAGGUGGGACAGAUGAUU